AGAGUUUGAUCCUGGCUCAGAUUGAACGCUGGCGGCAGGCCUAACACAUGCAAGUCGAGCGGUAGAGAGAAGCUUGCUUCUCUUGAGAGCGGCGGACGGGUGAGUAAUGCCUAGGAAUCUGCCUGGUAGUGGGGGAUAACGUUCGGAAACGGACGCUAAUACCGCAUACGUCCUACGGGAGAAAGCAGGGGACCUUCGGGCCUUGCGCUAUCAGAUGAGCCUAGGUCGGAUUAGCUAGUUGGUGAGGUAAUGGCUCACCAAGGCGACGAUCCGUAACUGGUCUGAGAGGAUGAUCAGUCACACUGGAACUGAGACACGGUCCAGACUCCUACGGGAGGCAGCAGUGGGGAAUAUUGGACAAUGGGCGAAAGCCUGAUCCAGCCAUGCCGCGUGUGUGAAGAAGGUCUUCGGAUUGUAAAGCACUUUAAGUUGGGAGGAAGGGCAGUUGCCUAAUACGUAACUGUUUUGACGUUACCGACAGAAUAAGCACCGGCUAACUCUGUGCCAGCAGCCGCGGUAUACAGAGGGUGCAAGCGUUAAUCGGAAUUACUGGGCGUAAAGCGCGCGUAGGUGGUUUGUUAAGUUGGAUGUGAAAUCCCCGGGCUCAACCUGGGAACUGCAUUCAAAACUGACUGACUAGAGUAUGGUAGAGGGUGGUGGAAUUUCCUGUGUAGCGGUGAAAUGCGUAGAUAUAGGAAGGAACACCAGUGGCGAAGCGACCACCUGGACUAAUACUGAUACUGAGUGCGAAAGCGUGGGAGCAACAGAUUAGAUACCCUGGUAGUCCACGCCGUAAACGAUGUCACUAGCCGUUGGAAGCCUUGAGCUUUUAGUGGCGCAGCUAACGCAU
This 850-nucleotide ribosomal RNA is filed under the name uncultured bacterium. RNAcentral describes it as "bacterial SSU rRNA". It matches the Rfam family "Bacterial small subunit ribosomal RNA", at positions 8 to 860 of the family's 1533-position model. The record is from RNAcentral.